RNAcentral lists this long non-coding RNA (613 nucleotides) under Mytilus galloprovincialis (Mediterranean mussel). The record is from RNAcentral. Lineage: Eukaryota; Metazoa; Mollusca; Bivalvia; Mytilida; Mytilidae.
GGGGUGUCUAAAUUAUAAUCCAUAAAAUCUUUUAAUAAUUUGCCAAAAUGUAGUUCAUAUCCUGUUUGUUUAAAAACAUUAAUAAAAGAAUGGGUCACCGGACUUAUUUUCACGCUACAGGUUGUUCAAAAUUGUCAAGAUUUUGUAUAGAUUAUGCAUGGAAAACCCAUUUUUCCGCCAUAAAACGCAAACCACACCAUAGAAUUUUGAGAUAAAAUAUGAGAAGAUAGCUUCAAUAUUAUGCUUUCAGAUAAGAAAACGAAAAAAUGGGGUCACCGGACUCGUUUUCUUGCUACAUGUAAAAAUGGGUAAAUUCCUAACACAUUCUAUUGUAAAAGUAACACUAUCUGGAUUAUCUGCCCUUGCAUUUGAGUUGCCUCCCCUUAUUUGACAAAGUUGGAAAAAAAAUGAAUCAAACAAAAGAAUUCUUAUUUUUGUAAAAUACAAUCAUAAAUAUGAUCAAACAUGGCAUUUUCUAUAUUAUAAUGAAAAUUCUUACACAUGAAUUACCUACUACUAAAAAAAUUUGCACAUUUCAUCAAAGAUCUAGACCUUGUUUUCUAGUAUUUCAAAAUCCAAGAUGGAGGAAGACACCCUAUCUACCUUAAGGUCA